RNAcentral lists this long non-coding RNA (730 nucleotides) under Numida meleagris (helmeted guineafowl). RNAcentral describes it as "lncRNA (ENSNMEG00000016882.1)". Lineage: Eukaryota; Metazoa; Chordata; Aves; Galliformes; Numididae. The record is from RNAcentral.
AUUUCCCUCUGAAGCAAGGCGGUUCCCUAAACUGUCAAAACAGUAACCCAGCAAAAAUAAACGAGAUGCUUUCUGCUGCAUUAGCGCCCUACAUCCGUUCAGUGGUGGGUCAGAGAGGGGCCAGAGGCAAUACAGAUAAAGAUGAGGCAAUGGGGAGAGGAUCACACCUUCCAGCAGAUCCCUUCAGCUAAAAGCUCUUACAGAUGGCCUCACUCAUUUUUGCAAUGCUUUCUAACGAUGGAAAAUACUCCUGAAAGCAGCACUGAGAGCACGUGGAAGAACACAGGGACAAUCCAAUAACGAAGGGAUUUGGCUUCAUGGAAAUCUGAAAUGCAGGACCGAGUAUGCACAGCUGUGACCAAAGUCAAUGGGAACUGUGCCUGAAUGUACAAUACCAAGCUGUCUGCUAAAACAGUUCCUUGGCAUUUUCAGUGGAAGACCCCAUAACAGGCAGAUGGUGUUUGGCUUUUGCUGUUUUAUCACCUGUGUCACAUCUCAGAGGUGACAGCUAAAUGGAUGGCGCUGGGAAGCACUCCCAUGUGGUGGUGAUGAGCUGCACAGGAUGAUCCUUCAGAGCUGGGUCUGGACAGCCUACAUUAAAGAAGGCAAGCGUUGGUCUAGGACAUAUUACUCUCUUAGAGAGCACAUGCUGUCCAUCCUAUACACUGACCAAACCAGGUGCCCUAUAGGAAAAAAUAAAUAAAUCUGUUACCAUGUAAUUAAAAACUGG